This 677-nucleotide long non-coding RNA is filed under the name Brassica napus (rape). Its description in RNAcentral is "long non-coding RNA (BNAP_LNC003805)". The record is from RNAcentral. Lineage: Eukaryota; Viridiplantae; Streptophyta; Magnoliopsida; Brassicales; Brassicaceae.
UUAAAUUUAUACGAUAAUUACGCCUCAAAUCACACCCUCCGCAUAAAUCAUUAUAAUUACAUAAUCGAGGUUAGUGAAUUAUUACUCGGUAUAUUCAAACACAUAUCAAAACGAAUCCGCAUUUAAAACAAAAAAAUGUAAAGCAAACCCGUCCUUCAGAUGCAUAAAUAUAUAUUAUUCCGGUGACGUUUCCAUUGGUGAUUGGUGUUCCACCGAGAUCCAGUUUUGUCAUCGUACCGUCGGCGCUUCAAGCAAACCCGUCCUUCAGCUCUAACUACUCUUGAUUCACCAUGCUCCAGCCGCCGCCGUUGAGCCAAGCAAGAAUCUACCAUCUUCACUGCCGCCAUUGUUGAGCCAAGCAAGAGUCACUGAAACCGGGAGAUGCUCGGUACAUCUGUCUGAUGGAGUCAGAUCUGAUGGAGUCCAUGGUUAUGGCUCCCAGCCUUGUAUCCUGUAAAUCAGCAUAGUUAAAACGAUUUAACAUGUAGAAAGAGAUGGAGGGAGAUAUCGUGUGAUAAGUAGAUGCAAAAGACUUUGAGUUUCAUCCACAUAAGAGGGCCAUUAUAUAUAUAGCAACUUAGCUUGAAAGUGAAGCCAAAUAAUCCAACUUUAAUGGGGUGAAUUCACUGAAAUGCGUUACCGACAGCAGUUACUCGGCCAAGUUAAGGCGGUGGAAG